AUUAGUAGACUCAGUUGAUAUACGGUGCCAAAUUCCCAAGAAUAAAACAGACUUUUGAAGCAAAGAUGCAAUUGGGCCAAUUCCAUCGUACCCCUAAAUGGUUUGAUCUGAGCCCAAUAAAAGCCCAAACAUUUUAAUUAAAUUUCUAUGGUAUCAAUUUAAUGAAGGUGGAAUUGCCACGUAGGUGCGGCUGUUAACAUGAACAAAAACAUAGGACUUAUUAACUUCUUCUUCAUAAAGUCAUCAGUUUUCUGAAUUGUUUGGCGAAAUAUGCAAAUGGCUUUGAGAGUGGCAGCGCGUCCUGUUGUAAGACGAGCCAACAUAGCUCUGCUCUCACUUCCUCCUCAUUAUCUCACAACCAAAUCCCACGUUUUUGCUUCAAAAUUUCUACCCAAUUCAACCCCUCCUCUGCUGAAUCAAAAUGGACCAAGAUAUUCGAUUAGAGCAAUCAGUGAAACAAAUGUGGAUCCUGUCGCACAAAAGAAGGAUAAUGAAGGCCACGAAAACUGGAAAAUUAAGAUGCUUUACGAUGGAGACUGUCCCUUAUGCAUGCGUGAGGUUGACAUGUUAAAAGAGAGGAACAAAGGUUAUGGAACAAUCAAAUUUGUGGACAUUAGUUCUGAUGAAUACAGCCCAGAGGAGAAUGAAGGCCUUGAUUAUAAGACGGUUAUGGGAACAAUACAUGCAAUACUAUCAGAUGGAACUGUGGUUACAAAUGUUGAGGCAUUUAGACGACUCUAUGAAGCAGUUGGGUUAGGAUGGGUGUAUGCCAUUACAAAAUAUGAACCUAUUGCAACUAUUGCUGAUACUGUGUAUGGAGUCUGGGCAAAGUAUCGUCUUCAGAUAACAGGUCGACCACCUUUAGAAGAAGUUAUAUUGGCACGAAAGAAUAAGGAGGAAAUGUGCAAGGACAAUAAGGCUUGCAAAAUUUAGGAGUUUCAGAAUGUUGGAACCAUCGGAAGAGGAUUCUCCUCCUUGUUAUUGAGAAAAUCCUACAUACCUCGUCAUGGAUUCAGAGGACUUCUAUAAGGAAAAAUAAUGAAAUAAGGCAACAUGUAUGAUUUCUCCAAGUUAGACAAUUCAGCCAACAUGUGUGAUGAGAACAUCACUUGAGAAGGCAUAGAAGCAGUUUGUAAGUGUUAAGAGUGGCAUUGGAAAGAACUUUAAGUAGUGCUAGUUGAGGACAUAAGAAAAGGAGAGAAAACUAGUACAAACUAAACAAAAAAAACUAAGUUGAUUACAUGAAUACAAAGAAGAUAUAGGAUAUCCUAAUGGUGAGAAUUUUUUACACUUCGAGCUCAACUAGUAACCUUAAACGAGGUGCUCAAUGAAAAUUCAUUUUCCUUGUAUGUAGCUUGAAAAAUAAGAAAACCAGCAUAGAUACUACAACAAAUUAUUGAGAGAGAGAGAGGCAUACACUAGCAUCGAGUAAUUUCUAGUUUACCUUUACGUGUUGUAGUAGGUAACUUGUCUUAUUUUUAAGAUUAACAUUUUAAGAAGGCUUUACCUGCAGAUAUCCAUUGAAUGACCUGAUAGUAUAAAAAAUUCUUUAUACUGAUGGUGUUUAUAGCUUAAACUCUUUCCAUAUUA
Molecule: RNA transcript, 1590 nt
Organism: Nicotiana tabacum (common tobacco)
Lineage: Eukaryota; Viridiplantae; Streptophyta; Magnoliopsida; Solanales; Solanaceae
Source: RefSeq, a predicted model, not a curated record